RNAcentral lists this long non-coding RNA (271 nucleotides) under Homo sapiens (human). RNAcentral describes it as "HSALNT0352846". Lineage: Eukaryota; Metazoa; Chordata; Mammalia; Primates; Hominidae. The record is from RNAcentral.
UGGGAGUGUGAGCACCUGCCUUUUUGAGCCUGAGAAACUCAUAAGGAGAAGAGGGUUGAGAAAAGGCAGAGGGAGACACAACUGUUAUCUUGACAUUCAUGUCAUAUGGAAAACUGAAGGAGCAGAGGGAGGCAUUUAUUUCCAGAAGAGGUCAGAGAGCAUAAUCAGGGGACAGAGACUAAAUAUUUGGCUUUCUUAGAAGACUGGGUUUUUAUUAAAGAGGUGGUUCUCCUUUCAAAUUAGUCUUAUGUCUCCCAAGAAAGACAUCAUG